RNAcentral lists this long non-coding RNA (445 nucleotides) under Bemisia tabaci. RNAcentral's name for it is "lncRNA ENSSSA2NGG006222". The record is from RNAcentral. Lineage: Eukaryota; Metazoa; Arthropoda; Insecta; Hemiptera; Aleyrodidae.
UAACAACAAUGUUAAUAUUCAUCAUAUUUAUGUGAGGAGAUUUCUUAUUAAGCUCAUCAUCAUAUCAUUUUUUCUUUUUGGUUUUCAAUUUAGGCAGCUAUUACACAAACUGAAAUGAUCAAACCAGAGCGGUCUUAUUUCAUAGAAGAGAUACAAGACGCACUCUUGGCCUGUAAGAGGAGUGGGUCGCCUGUUCUUCCGCUGUCAUUAUUUUUGACAGAGGUGUGGAAGAUUCUUGCAAACUACAAAGAACUUCCGCUGAGUGAUCUUCCCGUACGGUUUGAAGACGUUCAAAUUCUGUCCAAUAUCGACUACUCUGGAAAGGGUAAGACAGUUCUUAAGGAUGCUACUUUGAAAUCAUCAAGUCUGCAGCACUAACUAGACGCGUUUGCUUAUCUUGGCUUUUUUAUUAUAAUUCAUAAUGAUUUCAUUUUUUUAAUGGGUU